GCGGCAGGCUAACACAUGCAAGUCGAGCGGACAUCUUCGGAUGUUAGCGGCGGACGGGUGAGUAACGCGUGGGAACGUACCUUUUGCUUCGGAAUAGCCUCGGGAAACUGGGAGUAAUACCGGAUGUGCUCUUCGGAGGAAAGAUUUAUCGGCAAAAGAUCGGCCCGCGUUGGAUUAGGUAGUUGGUGGGGUAAUGGCCUACCAAGCCUACGAUCCAUAGCUGGUUUGAGAGGAUGAUCAGCCACACUGGGACUGAGACACGGCCCAGACUCCUACGGGAGGCAGCAGUGGGGAAUCUUAGACAAUGGGGGAAACCCUGAUCUAGCCAUGCCGCGUGAGCGAUGAAGGCCUUAGGGUUGUAAAGCUCUUUCAGUGGGGAAGAUAAUGACGGUACCCACAGAAGAAGCCCCGGCUAACUCCGUGCCAGCAGCCGCGGUAAUACGGAGGGGGCUAGCGUUGUUCGGAAUUACUGGGCGUGAAGCGCACGUAGGCGGACAGAGAAGUCAGAGGUGAAAUCCCAGGNCUCAGCCUUGGAACUGCCUUUGAAACUUUUUGUCUUGAGGUCGAGAGAGGUGAGUGGAAUUCCGAGUGUAGAGGUG
This 599-nucleotide ribosomal RNA is filed under the name uncultured bacterium. RNAcentral's name for it is "bacterial SSU rRNA". It matches the Rfam family "Bacterial small subunit ribosomal RNA", at positions 39 to 683 of the family's 1533-position model. The record is from RNAcentral.